GACGAACGCUGGCGGCGUGGAUUAGGCAUGCAAGUCGAACGGUAUCAUCCUUUCGGGGGUGAGAGAGUGGCGAACUGGUGAGUAACACGUAGGUUAUCUACCCUCAAGACGGGGACAACCCAGGGAAACUUGGGCUAAUACCGGAUGUGAGCAACUUUUAGUUGUUUGAAAGGUGGCGUAAGCUGUCGCUUGGGGAUGAGCCUGCGUCCUAUUAGUUAGUUGGUGAGGUAACGGCUCACCUAGGCAAUGAUAGGUAGGCGGCCUUAACGGGUGGUCGCCCACACUGGGAUUGAGAUACGGCCCAGACUCCUACGGGAGGCAGCAGUCGAGAAUAGUCUACAAUGGUCGGAAGACUGAUAGUGCGACGCCGCGUGAACGAUGAAUCCCUUCGGGGUGUAAAAGUUCUUUUAUAUGUGAGCAGUGCUUCUUAUAUUAACAGUAUGGGGAAGAGAUAUUAGCAUAUGAAUAAGCAAACGGCUAAACUCCGUGCCAGCAGCCGCGGUAA
Molecule: ribosomal RNA, 505 nt
Filed under: uncultured bacterium
Lineage: Bacteria
Description: bacterial SSU rRNA
Rfam family: Bacterial small subunit ribosomal RNA
Source: RNAcentral